RNAcentral lists this ribosomal RNA (269 nucleotides) under uncultured bacterium. Its description in RNAcentral is "partial 16S ribosomal RNA". It matches the Rfam family "Bacterial small subunit ribosomal RNA", at positions 85 to 354 of the family's 1533-position model. The record is from RNAcentral.
UAAAAUCUUAGUGGCGGACGGGUGAGUAACGCGUGGGUAACCUGCCUUACACUGGGGGAUAACACUUAGAAAUAGGUGCUAAUACCGCAUAAGCGCACGAAGCCGCAUGGAUUUGUGUGAAAAACUCCGGUGGUGUAAGAUGGACCCGCGUCUGAUUAGCUUGUUGGCGGGGUAACGGCCCACCAAGGCGACGAUCAGUAGCCGGCCUGAGAGGGUGGACGGCCACAUUGGGACUGAGACGCGGCCCAAACUCCUACGGGAGGCAGCAG